This 200-nucleotide long non-coding RNA is filed under the name Durio zibethinus. RNAcentral's name for it is "long non-coding RNA (DZIB_LNC000843)". The record is from RNAcentral. Lineage: Eukaryota; Viridiplantae; Streptophyta; Magnoliopsida; Malvales; Malvaceae.
CAAGUUUGGGGCCAAAACUCCUUCCGAAAAAAAGUUUAAAAAAUCCUGAGCAGCAAAAAGUUUCAAAAAUCAUGAAAAAUUGAAAACGAGUCGUCUUGCCAUGAAACUACACGUGAAGGCUUAAGGGACCAUUGUAUGAAUUUACAAGCCAUAAAAAUGGCAUUGGCACGUAGAAAUAUAAAGAUGUGCCUAAACCCACC